This 2108-nucleotide long non-coding RNA is filed under the name Nasonia vitripennis (jewel wasp). RNAcentral describes it as "uncharacterized LOC100679345, transcript variant X1". The stretch from base 88 to 161 matches the Rfam family "tRNA". Lineage: Eukaryota; Metazoa; Arthropoda; Insecta; Hymenoptera; Pteromalidae. The record is from RNAcentral.
GCGAUCGACUGCAACGCGAGCAGCGAAGACGAGUCAGCGAUAAGAGUCCGCCGAGCCGUACUACGAUGCAUAGCGUCCGAAUGCAUCGUAGACGUUGGCUCAGAGGUUAGAGCACAGGCUUCUGGCUCUCGGGUCCGCGAGUUCGAGUCCCGUCGUCUACUUUUUCGCUUUCGACUCUGUCUCCUCCAUCCAUUUCACAAACAUUUACACAUACACAUACAUUUGGUCGGUGGCUCUCGGAGUUUAUUCUCGUUGGGGUUUCUCUAUAGGCAUUGUUAAUGCAAGUGCAAAAACGGGCGAGACAGAGAGAGAGAGAGAAUACGAAAGGCGAAAGUCGAGAUGAGUAGCAGGAGGAAGGAGGGUUAUGAGGAAGUAACAAAGGAAGAGAGUGAUUCAGAAAAGAAAAUGGACGUGUAAUGUGAACGAAGAGAAGCGCAGAGAGAGAAGAAGCGGAUAAGAAUUAAGCGUUAGCGAAACCGAAAAUCUUGAACUAUCGUGCAACUUGGAAGAAAAUCUCAACAUAGUACAAUAGAAGCCGUAAAUCCAUCAUAAAAUCAAAAGAAAGUCGGCGUUCAGAAUUUUCCCACGACAUAUAGAAAUCAGGCACAAUCGUCACUGUAUGCAUAGAUAGGCGCAGUAAACAUGCGGUGGCAGGGAUAACAGAGAUAGGAAGAAGAAAUGCCGCAUAGAAAAGGAGGAGCAGUAAUACUCCGAAAAGCGAGAGCAGAGAGGUUCGUGGCGCGGAAAAGUGGAAAGAAAAUUCGAGAGGACUAUACCUGCGUCUAACGCCCAUAGACCAGAGGUGCGUGCAUAGUUCCCUGUCCCCCUACUUCUGCUUCUCGCCACGGCUGCCCCCACGUAUACGAAGGUAAAAAUCUCUCCGCUCUCGCCAUCGAGCCAACGAACACAAGCCCAGUAGCAUAGCGCGCAUUGCGCAGGCGUGUAGAGGAACAUCUGCUCAUUUAUAUUUUUGGGUGGUGCACGUUCGAGGCUGCGGGCGCGUGCAGCAGACCUCUUCUGCGCUUCGAUUUUCGACAUUUCCGAGCGAGCUCUCCACGGCUUCAGACCUGCUUGAAGAUACCAUUCUACGAAAACCAGGCUCAACAUAUGAACCAACAUGAAUUAUUACCCUCGGAAGAAGUACUUUUUCGAAAACUUUUACUACAACAAGCUGAAGCGAGAGAAGAGGAAACAUCUGAGAAGAAGAAACGACAUCCUGAAUUCGACGGGCGAAGAUAUCGGAGAGUUCGCUCCACCCGAGAGAUACAGACACGUUAAAAGAAUUAGCUAUACAGACUGGUUGCUAAGACGAACGGAGAGACAAUGCAACAGAAUAUGCAACGAUUCCUUUAACGAAGGCAAUUUCAGUGAAAGUGGUAGUGACAUUUUUAAUUUGAAUAAAAUCAUGCGCUACGAUUGUGGCGAAUACGCUAUAAAUGGCAUUCGUAUGUCUUACGAGUAUAUUAUGGACACUCUUUCCAUCUACAUUGGAUACAUUUUAAUUUAUACCAUAACUUUGUCAGAGCAUGAAGAUGCCAACAUUCCGUGGCAAGAGAUUCAAUGGGAUUGAUCGGAUAUGAGGCCCGUUUUUUACUGCGUUUAAUCGAUUAAAUUGCACAUACUCUCAAAUUUCUCUCUCAAUCGAGUCAGAAUAGUCAGAUUUUUAAGGAAUUACUGAAACAAUUGUUGCGUGAAAGCGAAAUAGACUGUUGCAGCAUAAACUGUGUUCAAAAUAUUUUAUUACGGCCGCUGACGCUGCAUAGGUCGGUUAGUCAGUUCAGUUGGCGUGCAUCAGCUGCUCGCGCAUGCGCACUGAUUCAUUUUAUGCCGAGCCCGUAUGCCUGUGUGUAUAUACAUAUACCUAGCCAGAUUUCUAGAUGAAUAGCCCCGAUGGAAUAAAAUUAAGCCCUAAAAUUGAGCGUUUUCAUAGCUAGCUAGAAACUAGACCAAAUUUAUGCGAGAUCAUUGAUGUGCAAAAUUUUUUCUUGUAUUUUUAUAUAAACAAAUCUUUUUUACUAAUGAACGACUGAUAAACGUGCAAUUUUACUUUUAUAUUUUUAGUCUCUUGAUGAUUUAAUCUCAAAUAAAAAAAAUAAAAAAAAAAAAAC